UACGUAGGGUGCGAGCGUUGUCCGGAAUUACUGGGCGUAAAGAGCUCGUAGGUGGUUUGUCACGUCGUCUGUGAAAUCCCGGGGCUUAACUUCGGGCGUGCAGGCGAUACGGGCAUAACUUGAGUGUUGUAGGGGAGACUGGAAUUCCUGGUGUAGCGGUGGAAUGCGCAGAUAUCAGGAAGAACACCGAUGGCGAAGGCAGGUCUCUGGGCAAUAACUGACGCUGAGGA
This 230-nucleotide ribosomal RNA is filed under the name uncultured microorganism. RNAcentral describes it as "partial 16S ribosomal RNA". It matches the Rfam family "Bacterial small subunit ribosomal RNA", at positions 524 to 752 of the family's 1533-position model. The record is from RNAcentral.